Molecule: ribosomal RNA, 468 nt
Filed under: uncultured bacterium
Lineage: Bacteria
Description: partial 16S ribosomal RNA
Rfam family: Bacterial small subunit ribosomal RNA
Source: RNAcentral
UAGGGAAUCUUCCACAAUGGACGCAAGUCUGAUGGAGCAACGCCGCGUGAGUGAAGAAGGUUUUCGGAUCGUAAAGCUCUGUUGUUGGUGAAGAAGGAUAGAGGCAGUAACUGGUCUUUAUUUGACGGUAAUCAACCAGAAAGUCACGGCUAACUACGUGCCAGCAGCCGCGGUAAUACGUAGGUGGCAAGCGUUGUCCGGAUUUAUUGGGCGUAAAGCGAGCGCAGGCGGAAUGAUAAGUCNGAUGUGAAAGCCCACGGCUCAACCGUGGAACUGCAUCGGAAACUGUCAUUCUUGAGUGCAGAAGAGGAGAGUGGAACUCCAUGUGUAGCGGUGGAAUGCGUAGAUAUAUGGAAGAACACCAGUGGCGAAGGCGGCUCUCUGGUUUGCAACUGACGCUGAGGCUCGAAAGCAUGGGUAGCGAACAGGAUUAGAUACCCUGGUAGUCCAUGCCGUAAACGAUGAGCG